Molecule: ribosomal RNA, 490 nt
Filed under: uncultured bacterium
Lineage: Bacteria
Description: partial 16S ribosomal RNA
Rfam family: Bacterial small subunit ribosomal RNA
Source: RNAcentral
AUUGAACGCUGGCGGCAGGCCUAACACAUGCAAGUCGAACGGUAACAGGAAGAAGCUUGCCUCUUUGCUGACGAGUGGCGGACGGGUGAGUAAUGUCUGGGAAACUGCCUGAUGGAGGGGGAUAACUACUGGAAACGGUAGCUAAUACCGCAUAACGUCGCAAGCCCAAAGAGGGGGACCUUCGGGCCUCUUGCCAUCGGAUGUGCCCAGAUGGGAUUAGCUAGUAGGUGGGGUAACGGCUCACCUAGGCGACGAUCCCUAGCUGGUCUGAGAGGAUGACCAGCCACACUGGAACUGAGCCACGGACCAGACUCCUACGGGAGGCAGCAGUGGGGAAUAUUGCACAAUGGGCGCAAGCCUGAUGCAGCCAUGCCGCGUGUAUGAAGAAGGCCUUCGGGUUGUAAAGUACUUUCAGCGGGGAGGAAGGGAGUAAAGUUAAUACCUUUGCUCAUUGACGUUACCCGCAGAAGAAGCACCGGCUAACUCCGUG